RNAcentral lists this ribosomal RNA (253 nucleotides) under uncultured bacterium. Its description in RNAcentral is "partial 16S ribosomal RNA". It matches the Rfam family "Bacterial small subunit ribosomal RNA", at positions 524 to 776 of the family's 1533-position model. The record is from RNAcentral.
UACAGAGGGUGCUAGCGUUGUUCGGAAUUAUUGGGCGUAAAGGGCGCGUAGGCGGCUUCGUAUGUCGGGUGUGAAAUCCCACCUCUUAAAGGUGGAAUUGCAUUCGAAACUACGUGGCUGGAGUGUGGCAGAGGAAGGUGGAAUUCCAGGUGUAGCGGUGAAAUGCGUAGAGAUCUGGAGGAACACCGAUGGCGAAGGCAGCCUUCUGGGCCAACACUGACACUCAUGCACGAAAGCGUGGGGAGCAAACAGG